RNAcentral lists this non-coding RNA (22 nucleotides) under Rattus norvegicus (Norway rat). Lineage: Eukaryota; Metazoa; Chordata; Mammalia; Rodentia; Muridae. The record is from RNAcentral.
AUGCUUUGGGGUGUUGCAUUAC